AUGGUUCUUGGAAGGGUCAGAAAUGAAAGUGUCCUAUUCAUUCUUUUCUCCUAUCCUGUUUCCUUUUUCCAGACUACCAAGCCAGUCGGGAGGAGACUGCUUCAUAUUACAGUUGCCCAGAAGCAUUGCUGGAAGCUCAGAUGUGGGUGCCCCAGUCAACAGUGGAAGGGGGUACAAGGAAAUCACAGAGAACUCUGUUCUGAUGUCCCCAGAAGCAAGCCGACCCCCUCCGGGCUCUGGGAAUACUACAAAGCAAUAUGAAACCUGUUCAUGAGAGGAGUCAGGAAUGCCUUCCACCAAAGAAACGAGACCUCCCUGUGACCAGCGAGGAUAUGGGGAGGACCACCAGCUGCUCAACCAACCACGCACCCUCUGGCGAUGCCUCUGAUUGGUGUCGGGGGGUAGUGGCGACUGGGCAGACCCAGGCAGGAGGAAGACAGAGUGUUGGUAGUGAUGGAGUGGAGGCCAUCACUGGUCUGACAGUGGACCAAUAUGGUCAGCUGCAGCAUCACUCAGGCACUCAGCCAGUGGACCUCACUCCAGGCCGGGUGCCCAUUUACUAUCAGAUGUCUCGGCUUCCCCCUGGGUAUACAACACAUGAAAUCCCUCCAGCAGGAGCAAGCCCAGAUUCUGCCCCUGCACUACAUGAGGUCCAGCCCGUUCCAGAUGUAACUACUCCCAAUGGAGGGCAGAGACAAAUGGAACGGAACAUGGUAAGACAAGAAAGUGAAGCCAUGGACCCCCCCGGCAACAAGGAUGAUGGCCAGGGAUUAGGAACAGUGGUGGAAUGUGUGGUGGACGGACAGUUGUUUUCAGGUUCUCAGACUCCACGGAUGGAGGUGGCGGUGCCGGCACACCGAGGGACUCCAGAUACUGACCUAGAGGUCCAGAGAGUGGUUGGAACUUUAGUGUCUCAGGACUAUCGAGUGAUGGCAACUCAGAGGAAAGAUGAGCCCAGCCCCCUUAAUCUGUCCCAUCAUGCCCCUGAUCAUCAGAGUGAGGUGAGAGGGCUGGCUAGGAACCCAGUAGAAAUGACAGAGAAGAGCCAGGCCCAGGGCCUCUACACCCCGUCUCCUCAAGAGCUGACAAAACAUAGACCUUUACCCAAAGCAAUGGUUAUAGCCAAUGGCAAUUUGGUGCCCAUUGGUACUGAGCAGGGCCUGCUGUCCAUGGGGUCAGAAAUCCUGGUGACAUCAAGUCUGGAUAUGCAGGUUCGAGCCACUUUCCCAAACAAGGAGCCAACCCCACCGCCUAGCACCUCUUCCCACUUGCCCUCUCACUUCAUGAAAGGUGCCAUUAUCCAGUUGGCCACAGGAGAGCUGAAGCGGGUUGAGGAUCUACAGACCCAGGACUUUGUGCGCAGCGCAGAGGUGAGCGGGGGACUGAAGAUUGACUCCAGCACCGUGGUAGACAUUCAGGAGAGCCAGUGGCCUGGCUUUGUCAUGCUGCAUUUUGUGGUCGGGGAGCAACAGAGCAAAGUAAGCAUCGAUGUGCC
This 1495-nucleotide long non-coding RNA is filed under the name Phascolarctos cinereus (koala). RNAcentral describes it as "lncRNA (ENSPCIG00000036297.1)". The record is from RNAcentral. Lineage: Eukaryota; Metazoa; Chordata; Mammalia; Diprotodontia; Phascolarctidae.